GUCUCCGAAAUUCGCUGAAAAGGUUCAAUUUUUAAAAAUGUAACCUACUUAAAAUGAAUAGAGUUAUUGCUGACUCGCAUACGUACACAGAGCUAGUCAAAAUGAGGCGGUAGGCAAAAAGAAAGUGAAACGAUGACCUGCUAUGAUUGACGUCGUUCUAGACCAAUUGGAUUGUAGAGUAAGUAUGAAAAGACACGUAAGCAGUGCCUCUCGAUUUGGUGCACUGGCAAAUGAUCACGCCCAAAGAUAGCCUAGCCUAGUUUUCGUUCGAGGCAGCCUCCUAGACACUUUCGUUUCUUGUGUUAAGUUUUGCUUUUUGUUUCGGUGGUCUGGACGUUCAUGGACACUAAAUGAAACAAUGUUCCGAGAAUGUCCACUGCUGUAAAGCGGUAAAGUCCCUACAGUCAUCAGCCACACGGUUCCAUCUACUACGGUGAAAGUCUCAAGCCAUCAUGCCGGUGGAUAGAAUGCUAAUGCGCCCUUGGCUUGAAGAACAGAUCAACAGUGCUUCAAUAAAUAACCUAGUGUGGUUAAACAAGCAAAAGAAGAUAUUCCAAAUUCCAUGGAUGCAUGCUGCACGUCACGGAUGGGAACUUGAUAAAGAUGCACCUUUGUUUAUGAACUGGGCAAUCCACACAGGGAAAUACCAUCCAGGGGUUGACCAACCUGAUCCAAAGACAUGGAAGGCAAACUUUCGCUGUGCAAUGAAUUCUCUUCCUGACAUUGAAGAAGUGAAAGACAAGAGUAUUAAAAAAGGCAGCAACGCAUUCAAAGUUUACAGGAUGUUAACGACAUCUGAGCGGUCUAUGAAGAAAGAAAAAAGGAAGUUGGAGAAGGAGCAAAAUAAGGCAAAAAAGCGAAAAUCUGGCGACGACACCAGCUCUAAGGGAUCUGAUGGGCCAACCCCUGAAGAGGAAGAAAAGGUGGAGCAUGAGGCGGAUAGCACAGUGACCAUCGAUCUCCAUCCUACAGUCAGUGACGACUCCACUGACAACCAGCUCGUAAUAAACGAAAUGCCUGAUGUGUGUGCUGUGGUGGAGGUCACCACUGAGCUUGAGGAAGUUUCUGACAGCCAGGUGUCUACUAAGAGAGAGGAGCCACCAAUUACCUCAAGCACUAUUUACCCUCGUUUGCAAGUCUCCCCAAUUUCAUCUUGUGGAGAAAGUGAUGCCGAAAGUGAAUACAGUGAUGAAGACUCCAAGGAGGAAUGGGACAUGCGGUGCCUGUCCGAGCCCCGGGUGACUUGCUCUGUAGUAAGAUUCCCCUCCUGCAAGGCCCCCAGCAACUCCACCUUUUUCAACUCCGAGAAAAUCAACUUUAAGGUGACCAGCUGCCAGGAGGAGUCUCCUAUGAUCGCCUACAACAUUCGUCCCUGGUGGAGACCUCACCUUGCAAUAAGGCCUGUGCCUGGUAGAUUACACUCUGGCCCCCAAGUCCAACCCCGAUAUAGUUCCCAUAAGCGUCCCCAACAUAUUCAACAUGUCGCUUCAGAAAUCUGUCCCCCUGUGCAUCCCCACACAAGUACCCAGGUGCCCACCCAAACCAACAUCAAUGUUCGCGCCCAAACUAUUUCUCACAUGUUUUCCCCGAGAAGUCCACAUAUGCUUGACCUAACCAGUCCACAUCAGCGGCCCCAAACCAGUUCCCCCUUGUGCCCCCAAACUAGUCUUAUUGUGCAUCGUUCUGUCGCACCCCAAAAUAGUUUCCACAUGCCCUCACCAAUCGGACCCCAAACCGGUCUUCACAUGCUUUACCCGGGCAGGCCUCAUAUGCUCCAACAGAGUGGCUCUCAUAGGCACCCCCAAACAAAUCCCCAGCUAUCUCCUCAUACCGGUCCUCAUGUGUCUCCACAAAUCGGUUCCCAUGUCCAUCCCCUAACUAUUUCUCUCACGUCCCUCCAUGGUAAUCCUCAUGUGCCUGCCCAGGCCCGUCCUGAUUCACAUCUCCAGAAAAGUUCUCAAAUGCUUGUCCUAGCCAGACCUGAUGUCAGUCCCCACAGCAAUCCUGAUGUCAUACCCCAUAGCAGCACCCACACUAGUGUCCAAGUCCCCAUUAUUAAAACGCCACACAUCAGUCCCAUCAAUGUUGUGCCUCUGAGACAAUCCUCUCCACCUGAAAGGACCUGCAGCACUGAUGGUCGUGCGAGCGUGAUCGUCAACACUGGCGUGAAAUCGUAACAAUUUUUUACCCCUCAGUAGAGACAAUGUACUGUUAUGAUCCGAGGCAGAUGCUUUGCUGCUACAGAAAAUGAACUUGAGCAUAAAUGCCUUAGAUGUUGCCCUGCCUCAUCAUGAACAGAGAGCACCAAAGGCUUGACAGCAAUAUUGGUCUUACUUUCUGUAAGAUGACAGACAUUCUUGCAAAGUGUUUGAAGUAUGCCUUGAUGACUAUUUUUGAUGACUACUGAUGAAUAUGUUUUCCCAGGACAGAUCUGUAUUUUUGUAUAGAGAAUGUGGUACUAAUGAGUUUCGGAUCAGUUUACAUUUUUUUUAACUAGCACACUAAUUCUGUAACAUGGAUGAUGUCACAUGAGGACACCCCCGGAGAGCUGUGUUUAUUUAUUUGAUUGUCUGUGUGAAUAUUGUCAGCAUGACAUUUAUCAUCUCUGCUGAAAUUUCACCCGACUGUGGUGUAGAGUUGUUUUCAGUAUAUGUCAGAAAGGUUGGAAGGUGAGACAUUGUGCAAACUACUGUGUUUCUUCUCUGUUUCUCAGAUUCUUAUUUUUGAAGUCAGUUGAGAGUUAAUCUCUUAGUUGCAAAAGCUGAUUUUGUGCACUUGUAAUGAAAGGCCAGAAUGAUUAGGAAUGAGAUAAGAGUUGAGUGCAUACUGUGUUGUUUUCCUUAACAUCUGUUGAUUUGACUUUUCUGUUAUCUUCAUGUGGUCAUUGUUAAAUGACAUUCACAAAGAAUAGUUGCUGUAUAAUAUGUCAGCCACUCUAAUUGAAGGAUCUCACUGGGUUAAAAAAAGCCUGAAAAGGAGCAAUUAAGUGCAUUGGAAGAGAAGUAUGUAUGUAUGGGCAUGUGAUUGUGUGAGUUUGCCAUGCACUGCUGUUGCCGGUAAAACAGGGAUGUUCAACAUCAAAUAAAACUGGGUUACUUUUGAAGACAAAUGAAAAAUGUGUGUAAAUGUUCCCUAAUUGCAGUAAACAUUUAAACUCAGGGGUAAAAUACUGUAGUCACCCUCAAUAAUUUAGAAAGACGAAGGAACUUGCAGUUAUUGGUUAAAAUGAUCUCAGAUGCACAGACGUCAUUCCAUUAUUUCAUCCUCAAGGCUGCUCAUGUUUUCAGACCUUUGGCCUGCUGAUGUAGAACAAUAUGACGAUAUCUAAAAUGACUCCUCUUACUAUCCACCGCAGUCUAAUUGAGGGUUUCUUGACCUCUACCUAGGCAGACAAGGGAACAAAAACUAUAGCGUCUGUUCUAGUUUCACAUUACUGCUGGCGUAGCACAAUAUUUAUCUUUUUUUUAGUGUGCCCACUAAAGCUGAAAUAACAGUUACUAGUGUAACACUAGCCCAAAAACUAAAUGAAUAUAGCAAACAUAUCAACACUGGGAAUGGUUGGUGAAUGGAAACAAUGUAACUGUAGACAGAAGGUUUAAGAAAUAACAUCUCAUCACAAAUUCAGUUGAACCAGGGCUUUUGAAAAGCUAGUCACAUGGCAAGUUUGGACACUCCCCUAAGUUAUCUCCUCUAAACAGUUGGAGGAAGGAAGAGGUGAUAUGCACUGAAGACAUGUUAGCAUUUCAGGCUGGUUUCCUUGGAAGAGCGGACAUAGGCUAACAACUCUGUCUUUAAAUGGUCCUUCAGCUCUCUUGGUAAAUUGGUUACAAUGGCAGGUUGGGGAAUGUGGUAUACCUCCCUUAUGUUCUUUGCUGCUGUUACUCAUGAAGUAUCUUGUAUAGAGAUGGGUUUCGCACCAGAGGCAGUAGAUGAUGCAUACACUGCAUGCCGUGAGGAGAUGCUGCAGAACAUUUUGGCAGUGAAAGGAAUUCUUCAGGAGGAGCUCAAGAUCAACACUGUGUUCCAGAAAGAGUGGAACACAUCUAGCCACUGCCAAAAACAGAUCCCUGGAGGUCUACCGCUCCAUACACAGGCUUUGCAAGCUGUUGGUAAUUCUCUUUCUAUGUCCAAAAAAUUCAAUAAAGCUGUUGAGACCAAAGGUGGGACUCCCAGCAUCUACAAAGACCAGUUCCAUUUUAAGUCCCUCCAUUUCCUGCUUAUGGACGCCUUUCGGUUGCUGAAGAACGACUCACAGUGUAGUACCGUGUAUUCCGCCACCUUUGAGGACUUCACUGCCGUGAAAGGAACUGAGGUGCGUUUCGGGGGGUUCAUCCCAGCAAACUAUGAUAAAAUGGAUGAGGAAGAGGGCUGUGCAGAUGGUGGAACCCUGUUUACCAUUAACACCUGUUCUAUCAUCAACUUGGAAGAGCUUGCCUGUUCUCCAGAAUAUACUCUGCGCUUAAUAUCACCAGUGGAGGUGUUUAAAGUGGAGGAUGUGAAGACUGGUGACACAGAAUGCCCAAGAGAGAUUGUGUUGACCUCCUCAAGAUUCCAUAGCAAUCACAAUUGUUAUCUAUUCCCCAGGGAUCCUACCACUCCUGUUCCAACAGCUCAUACUACUUCAGCUACGGCUGAUCCACCUGCUGGGGGAUCCUCCACCCAGUGGGUGAGCUCCGGUGGGGUUGUUCUCCUGACUGCAGUUCUUCACAUCUGCUUGAUUUGUCUUGCACCGUGACUCACAUGCUGAUAAGAUCUGUGAAACUCUCCCUAAAUAAAAUCACACACACACACAAAUAUUUUUCAGACCCUUCCUCAACACACGAUUAGCCAUGUGCUUCAAAAAACACAGAAACGCGCUCAUAUUUGCAUUGAGAGGAUUGGCAUUGGCAUUGGAUUGCAUUGGAAGAAUCCGUGUAUAAAUUCCAUACAAUUUACAUUUCAUUCUGCAUAAAUGAACUUUCCCCUUUACUGUGGAGGGCUAUGUGAUAAGAUAAAAGGGCUAUAAAUGUAAUGAUUUACAACUUCCUUUGUUGGUGAUACCUUUGGUUGAUAUAACUUUGCUGGAUGAAAUGUGUUUUCAAGGGAUUGUGUUUUGGUUAAACUGAAAUAUGUUGAAGCGAUGUAAGAUUUGACACCUUUUUCGAAAAUAGACACUUCACUUCAUAGACAAUCUUCUGGGUUUCUCUACCUCUUCAUGAUGGUUUUACCUGUCCUUGGUUGGUAGGUUCUGUACAUGUAUUUCACUGUUCAGCUUUGAAAAUAAAGCACAUUUUGCUUA
Molecule: RNA transcript, 5278 nt
Organism: Clupea harengus (Atlantic herring)
Lineage: Eukaryota; Metazoa; Chordata; Actinopteri; Clupeiformes; Clupeidae
Gene name: interferon regulatory factor 2-like
Exons: 13
Source: RefSeq, a predicted model, not a curated record